UAACCUGCACCAGCGGUGAAGACUGUGGAUAACUCCGGGAAACCGGGGCUAAGUACCGGAUAACAUUUUGAACCGCAUGGUCUCGAAACCCUAGAGAUAAGGCUUCGGCUUCGGCUGCUCACUUAUGGAUGGACCCGCGUCGUCAUUAGCUAGUGUGGUGAGGUGAACGGCUCAGCCAAGGCAACGAUGCGCUAGCCUUGAUCCUAGAUGCCAGGAGUGAGUCGGCCACACUAAGGUGACUGAGACACGGCCCAGACUCCUACGGGAGGCAGCAGUAGGGAUGACGUCAAUUCCGCAAUGGACGAAAGUCUGACCGGAGCAACGCACGCGCUGCAGUGAUGAAGGCUUUCAGGGUCGUAAGAACUCGAGGUGUUGUUAGGGACAGAACAACGUGCUCAGUUCGGAUUAUAAGCUGGCACCUUGACGGUACCUAAACCAGAAAGCCACGGCUAACUACGUGCCAGCAGGCCGCGGUAAAUACGUAGGUGGCAAGCGUUAUCCG
This 502-nucleotide ribosomal RNA is filed under the name Bacillus cereus. RNAcentral's name for it is "bacterial SSU rRNA". It matches the Rfam family "Bacterial small subunit ribosomal RNA", at positions 111 to 547 of the family's 1533-position model. Lineage: Bacteria; Bacillati; Bacillota; Bacilli; Caryophanales; Bacillaceae. The record is from RNAcentral.